This is a small nucleolar RNA of Ornithorhynchus anatinus (platypus), 138 nucleotides long. Lineage: Eukaryota; Metazoa; Chordata; Mammalia; Monotremata; Ornithorhynchidae. The record is from RefSeq and is a predicted model, not a curated record.
CCCCUCUCAUGGUCAUACCUGGAGAGUUUCUAGUACUCUAUCAGUCUCGGCUACAGGAGAGACAGUCAAGCAGAGGCCUACCCAUUCCAUUCCUAGCUUGGGCAGUGGCUAGCAAGUGGAAGGCAAUCUGCUCCAAGU